GAUACCCGCGUAGUCCUAGCCGUAAACGAUACUCGCUAGGUGUCGGCCACGGUGCGACCGUUGUCGGUGCCGUAGGGAAGCCGUGAAGCGAGCCACCUGGGAAGUACGGCCGCAAGGCUGAAACUUAAAGGAAUUGCGGGGGAGCACAACAACGGGUGGAGCUUGCGGUUUAAUUGGAUUCAACGCCGGAAAUCUUACCGGGACCGACAGCAGCAUGAAGGCCAAGCUGAAGACUUUGCCGGAUUAGCUG
RNAcentral lists this ribosomal RNA (250 nucleotides) under uncultured archaeon. RNAcentral's name for it is "partial 16S ribosomal RNA". It matches the Rfam family "Archaeal small subunit ribosomal RNA", at positions 732 to 982 of the family's 1478-position model. The record is from RNAcentral.